UAAUCUGCGAAAAGAUUAUUAGUAGCGGUGAAAAAUGGAGUACGUUUAGAAGAAUUACUAUGACGGAAUUGUCACUGUUAAAGCGUUGUAGGAUCAUGCUGCUGUAUGAUGAUGACCUGAGCCAAACCAGGUAUUAAUUGAAUAAUUGGGACGACGACGUUUUGGGCUGAUUUGGUAUUAAUUGCAAAGAAAAAACGACGUCGUUUCGGUUGCUGCUAAAAGUAGUCUAUAAAGUGCUCCACCAGGAUUGGUU
Molecule: long non-coding RNA, 253 nt
Filed under: Erythranthe guttata (spotted monkey flower)
Lineage: Eukaryota; Viridiplantae; Streptophyta; Magnoliopsida; Lamiales; Phrymaceae
Description: long non-coding RNA (EGUT_LNC002223)
Source: RNAcentral